Molecule: ribosomal RNA, 358 nt
Filed under: uncultured bacterium
Lineage: Bacteria
Description: partial 16S ribosomal RNA
Rfam family: Bacterial small subunit ribosomal RNA
Source: RNAcentral
CCUACGGGGGUCAGCAGUGAGGAAUAUUGGUCAAUGGACGCAAGUCUGAACCAGCCAUGCCGCGUGCAGGAAGACGGCUCUAUGAGUUGUAAACUGCUUUUGUACGAGGGUAAACGCAGAUACGCGUAUCUGUCUGAAAGUACUGUACGAAUAAGGAUCGGCUAACUCCGUGCCAGCAGCCGCGGUAAUACGGAGGAUUCAAGCGUUAUCCGGAUUUAUUGGGGUUAAAGGGUGCGUAGGCGGUCGGAUAAGUUAGAGGUGAAAUCCCGAGGCUCAACUUCGGAAUUGCCGUUGAUACUGUUCGGCUAGGGGGGAGUAGCGGUAGGCGGAAUGGAAGGUGUAGCGGUGAAAUGCUUAG